Molecule: ribosomal RNA, 559 nt
Rfam family: Bacterial large subunit ribosomal RNA
CCGACUUACGUUGAAAAGUGAGCGGAUGAACUGAGGGUAGCGGAGAAAUUCCAAUCGAACCUGGAGAUAGCUGGUUCUCUCCGAAAUAGCUUUAUGGCUAGCCUCAAGUGAUGAUUAUUGGAGGUAGAGCACUGUUUGGACGAGGGGCCCCUCUCGGGUUACCGAAUUCAGACAAACUCCGAAUGCCAAUUAAUUUAACUUGGGAGUCAGAACAUGGGUGAUAAGGUCCGUGUUCGAAAGGGAAACAGCCCAGACCACCAGCUAAGGUCCCAAAAUAUAUGUUAAGUGGAAAAGGAUGUGGCGUUGCCCAGACAACUAGGAUGUUGGCUUAGAAGCAGCCAUCAUUUAAAGAGUGCGUAAUAGCUCACUAGUCGAGUGACACUGCGCCGAAAAUGUACCGGGGCUAAACAUAUUACCGAAGCUGUGGAUUGUCCUUUGGACAAUGGUAGGAGAGCGUUCUAAGGACGUUGAAGCAUGAUCGUAAGGACAUGUGGAGCGCUUAGAAGUGAGAAUGCCGGUGUGAGUAGCGAAAGACGGGUGAGAAUCCCGUCCACCGAUU